RNAcentral lists this ribosomal RNA (352 nucleotides) under uncultured Streptococcus sp. Its description in RNAcentral is "bacterial SSU rRNA". It matches the Rfam family "Bacterial small subunit ribosomal RNA", at positions 1029 to 1382 of the family's 1533-position model. The record is from RNAcentral. Lineage: Bacteria; Bacillati; Bacillota; Bacilli; Lactobacillales; Streptococcaceae.
GGUGGACAGGUGGUGGCAUGGUUGUCGUCAGCUCGUGUCGUGAGAUGUUGGUUAAGUCCCGCAACGAGCGCAACCCCUAUUGUUAGUUGCCAUCAUUCAGUUGGGCACUCUAGCGAGACUGCCGGUAAUAAAACCGGAGGAAGUGGGGAUGACGUCAAAUCAUCAUGCCCCUUAUGACCUGGGCUACACACGUGCUACAAUGGUUGGUACAACGAGUUGCGAGUCGGUGACGGCGAGCUAAUCUCUUAAAGCCAAUCUCAGUUCGGAUUGUAGGCUGCAACUCGCCUACAUGAAGUCGGAAUCGCUAGUAAUCGCGGAUCAGCACGCCGCGGUGAAUACGUUCCCGGGCCUU